This 917-nucleotide ribosomal RNA is filed under the name Russula nigricans. RNAcentral's name for it is "partial large subunit ribosomal RNA". It matches the Rfam family "Eukaryotic large subunit ribosomal RNA", at positions 38 to 961 of the family's 3401-position model. The record is from RNAcentral. Lineage: Eukaryota; Fungi; Basidiomycota; Agaricomycetes; Russulales; Russulaceae.
GCAUAUCAAUAAGCGGAGGAAAAGAAACUAACAAGGAUUCCCCUAGUAACUGCGAGUGAAGCGGGAAAAGCUCAAAUUUAAAAUCUGGCGGCCUCUGGUCGUCCGAGUUGUAAUUUAGAGAAGCGUCUUCCGCGCUGGACCGUGCACAAGUCUCCUGGAAUGGAGCGUCAUAGAGGGUGAGAAUCCCGUCUUUGGCACGGAUGCACCAGGGCUUUCGUGAUGCGCUCUCGAAGAGUCGAGUUGUUUGGGAAUGCAGCUCAAAAUGGGUGGUGAACUCCAUCUAAAGCUAAAUAUUGGCGAGAGACCGAUAGCGAACAAGUACCGUGAGGGAAAGAUGAAAAGCACUUUGGAAAGAGAGUGAAACAGUACGUGAAAUUGUUGAAAGGGAAACGCUUGAAGUCAGUCGCGUCGACCGAGACUCAGCCUUGCCUCGGCUCGGUGUACUUCUCGGCCGACGGGUCAGCAUCAAUUUUGCCCCUCGGAUAAUGGCGAGAGAAAGGUGGCACCCUCACGGGUGUGUUAUAGUCUCCCGUCGGAUGCGAGGGUCGGGAUUGAGGAACUCGGCACGUACCGUGCUUAGGAUGUUGGCAUAAUGGCUUUAAACGACCCGUCUUGAAACACGGACCAAGGAGUCUAACAUGCCCGCGAGUGUUCGGGUGGAAAACCCGUGCGCGUAAUGAAAGUAAAAGUUGGGACCCCUGUCGUGGGGGGCACCGACGCCCGGACCAGACCUUCUGUGACGGAUCUGCGGUAGAGCGUGCAUGUUGGGACCCGAAAGAUGGUGAACUAUGCCUGAAUAGGGUGAAGCCAGAGGAAACUCUGGUGGAGGCUCGUAGCGAUUCUGACGUGCAAAUCGAUCGUCAAAUUUGGGUAUAGGGGCGAAAGACUAAUCGAACCAUCUAGUAGCUGGUUCCUGC